This is a non-coding RNA of Biomphalaria pfeifferi, 397 nucleotides long. NCBI's taxonomy places the organism in Eukaryota, Metazoa, Mollusca, Gastropoda, Planorbidae. The record is from the annotation of a GenBank genome assembly.
UAGUCAUUGUAAUCUUUAAAAAAAAAAAAAAAAUGAACUGACCUACAUAUAAAUACUAGUUUGAAAAAUGCUAAUAAGGAAUGUACACAGUCUAUUACAUAAACACAAAAACAACAUUGGAAGAAAAACUUUUGGCAAUGUUUAUGCAAAGUGUAAAAAAACAUGUAUAGCUACAUUCUAUUCUUAUUUUGGCAACUUGUAAAACUGUCAUUAAUAUUUUUGGCUUUGGGUUAUGUAAAUAUAUAUGUAUGUAAAUUUAAUACAUUUUUUAAAAGUUUAUUGUUAAAUGGACCAUUGUUAUAAUGUAUUUUAACCAUUACUGUAAGAAACUUAUAAAAAGAUUUCCCUAAUCUUUUUUUUUGUUCAUAUUUUGUAUGUCACAAAUGGAGUGAAUAAC